CCUCAUGGAGGACGCGCCCCGCUCCGGCUCCCGGCCGCCCGCCCCCCCGCCCCCGCUCCAGGCCCGGGCCCUCCCGGUUGCGUCAUCCAGGCAGACGCGGCCUCGCGCCCCGGGGGAGAUUUUCACAAUCGCGCAGCCGGCAGCGCCAGCAGCCAUUUGCUGCGCAGGGUAAACAGGCCCCAAAGUUGCCUCCAUUUUGCACGGCCCCCAAACCGCGGCACCGCCAGCACCGCGGCCCAACCUCCCGAUCCGGGGCUGAGCGACGCCCACCUCGGGGGACGCAGUCGGGAAAGCUCGACCGAGACCCCGCGGGCUCCCCCACAACCGCAGCUGGCACCCGCGCCCCCGGAAGCGGGACGCGUCUUCCCGGGAAGCGGCGGGGGUCUUCCCAGGGCGCUGCCGGGCUGUCGGAGUGCGCCACCCCCAGCUCCCCGGCGGCCCCCGCGGAGAAGCCCUGGGUGCCGUCUACGUGCGCGGCCUCGCCCGGCGCGUCCCGGGCCAUCCAGACCGACUCGCUCAGGGGCGAAAAACGGGGCCCACGAGGUCCGUCGCGUGCAGGGGCCACAUCGAGGCAACAGGGACCCGCGGGAGCUCGUCCACCGCAAAGCGCUCCCCGCUCCCGCAGCGCACGCUCGACGGCCGGGACCGAAAAGUGCAGAUUCACCAGCCCCGCGGGCCCUGCCUGUCCGCGGACCAGCCCCCCAAGGCCGACCCCGCCCCCAACCAGAUUGCCCCAUCCUGCGCCUCCCAAAUCCGACCCGACCGCACACCCUUCCUCCAAACCGAAUUCCCAGUCUGCGCCCCGCAAAUCCA
Molecule: long non-coding RNA, 813 nt
Filed under: Homo sapiens (human)
Lineage: Eukaryota; Metazoa; Chordata; Mammalia; Primates; Hominidae
Description: non-protein coding lnc-JSRP1-1:2
Source: RNAcentral